UUUUAGUUUGUUUAUGUGAAAGAAACGGUUUUGAUUUAUGUAUUGUUGCUUAAUUAGUCUGGUUCAAAUUCACUGUGUGUUUACUACACCAUAUAGUUUGUGUUGAAAAAAAAAAUACAUUUUACACGCGAAAAGGUGAUUUUUCAAUGCAAGGUUUUAUAAGCCCAAAUUUGCCGUGGGCAGGGGUGGCGUGAUAUUGGAUAGGGGAACUUGCUUAAGUUUCUGCUCCCUUUUUUCCUCUUUUCUUGGGGCAAAGAAAGUCUCAAAGUUGGCGGAGUAAGUCAGAAUAUAUCUGUAAUUUUCACAAUUUUCAGUUGGACACGCCAAACAAAUAGAAUCUGAUAAAACGAAGCAGCCUUAGUCAUCAACAAGCUAUCGGCACCUGGUAUAUGUCUUAGGUGGAAAUACUCCAUCAUGAAAGCUUGAAAAACCAGCUGGAAUUCAGCUUUUGCUGAAGUCUGAAAAAAAUCUUUAGAGAACUUACUGAAUAUAUUCUUCUACAAUUAUCCCUUGGUUCAUUGAUAACAGCUUGAAGGAGUUGAGACCGCAAUGUGGAAGUUGGAAAAAUUUCUAGUAGAAGACCAAAACAAUAAUCUGGUUUAAAUAUUUAAGCUUGUCUAGUUCAGUCUUGGCGACUAUUUGAUUUUAACCUCUUCUCAGGUCUUCAUAGUGCCUAAGUUAAGGAUUCUUGUGCAUAGUGGUUGCAAGCUGCAACUCAGUGUCUUAUGUACGACGUUAGCUUUGAUAUUGAGCUAUUUUUCUGUAAGAUUAUGAGCUUUAAUCAAGUAGGGACCAUGUCGAGCUCUAGUUUGAGCUAGAAAAGAAUGUUUCUGAAGCCUUUGAAGUGGGCAAAGAGAGCUAUUUUUCUUCUUUUGUAUGGUUAUACAAGUAGUUGAUUAUAGAAAUAGUAGCAGUCCUCUUCAAAUUAUUCAAAUGGUGUUACAAAAUUCAAAAUCUUUGACUCCCUGGGUAGAUAACCAGACUGCUUUCAAUGGAGGGAUAUAAGGCAAAAAUACAUUCUACUCGCGAAAAGGUGAUUUUUCUAUUUGCAAUGCAGUUCCAGCAACUUGUUUAAGGUUUUAUCUGCUCAAAUUUGCUGUGGGUGGUGAGCUUUUUCUGUAAGAUUAUAGGCUUACAUAGCAUUUUCCUAGGGGAGCAUUGUUAAGAUUGAGUCUUUACCGAUUGUACUUUGUAAAUGAAGUAAUGAAAAGGUUUUCCUGUUCCAUUUUAGCUGCUUUAGUUUGCGGUGAUGUUUGGUAUUCUAGCAAGGCUUUUAUUUUUCCUUUAUUUUGGUGUAUUGGGUGUGGUAGUCAAGCUGUGACAGGAGAUCUUGUGGUUGCUGUACUGUCACCUUCUUAUUUGUCUUUUUCUGGAGAUAGAUAAAUAGUGUUGUGUCAAAUGGUUUGUAAUUUUCAGUUAGUAGCUCAGUUUUUGACAAUAAAAAAGUGUUCUUUCAUAUUUUUUAAAUUUUAUCAAGUAAGAUAAGUUUUAUUAAUAACUAGUACCAAGGAGGUACUGCAAUAGUUACAAAAGGAUGAUGAGAGUUACAAACUUACAAUUGCUACAUCAAUUUCCAAUACAUUCCGGAAAAUAAAAAAGAUUAACCAAAUCCUAUAUAGCAUUGUGCUUGCAGCAAAAGUAUACAUUCUGUAUACAUCUAUUCUUCACAAGAGAAAUGUGCUGUUUGCAUCCUUUGAAGCAUCUUUUAUUUCUUCUCGACCAUAGAAUUCAAAUGAUGCUCAAAGGAAGAGUUGCCCAUAUGUGUUUUCUUCUCUUUCCAACUUCCUGACCUUGCCAGCUAAGCAUUAAACUCUUCACCAUUUGUGGCAUUACCCACUGAAGACCAAAAAUAUUCAAAAAGAGAACCCAUAUCAGCCAGGUAUUGUAAGUUUGUAAUAAUGCAAAAGAAGAUGAUUGCAAGAUUCCUGUGAUCUUUCACAAAAGAGGCACCUGCUACAUAAUGUAUUCCCCUUCUCUGCAAUGCAUCUUGUAUAAGGCAAGCAUUAUGGACCUAUGUUAUUCGGACUCUUCAAAAAUGUCGACGGGUACGUGUCGGAUCCUCCAAAAGUAGUGCAUUUUUGGAGGAUCCGACACGGGUGGGGCAGCCAUUUUGGAGAGUCCCAGCAACCCAAGCAUGCAGCUUUAGGAGGAGCUCUCGACCUCCAAAGCAGGUUCAAGUCCAUUCAGCUUCCCACUUCCCUGAACUUUUCAGUAAUAUAGAAUAACAACUUUUCAUUGAGAAUGUACCAUCUUGCUAUCAACCCAGGCCUGUGAGUCGAUUUUGCUAUCAUAUAGAAUUACUGGUUCCAAAAUAUGUAACAGUUGACAAAAAAUUCUCCAACUUCCAAUAAUUUAUGGUGUUUUUUUUUUCUUUUUUUUUUUUAAAAGAAAGUAACAGUUGUAUGUAUUUGACUAAAUCAGUACAUAGGUUGUACUGAAAACCAUAUUUACAUCAUAGCAAAAAUCAGGAAACUAGUCCAUAAAGUGAAAUUCUAACAAGAACCUAGGAUUUCUGUUAUGGACUUAGUAUCCUCUAGGUAGAUCGGCUUGCACCAAAAACAAAAAAGCUUAAUGCAAUUCAGUUUGAUCUUCUGUACUUCACUGCUGAUGUGUUUCCAGAUUUUCAUUUUAUUAGGCACCAUCAUAAAAUCCGGACACCACUUAUUGUCUUUCCCAUACUUUAUACUCCCUCCGUUCCAAUUAAUGUGAACCUAUUUCCUUUUUAAUCCGUUCCAAAAAGAAUGACCACUUUCCAUAUUUGGAAACAAUUUACCUUUAUGCAAUGAUUUAUAGCCACACAAAAUAUAUGUGCCUCAUUUUACACCACAAGUUCAAAAGUCUCUCUCUUUUUCUUAAACUCCGUGCCCAAUCAAAUAGGUUCACACAAAUUGAAGCGAAGGGAGUAUUGAUAACAUCCUUCCAAAAACAACAUUCACGUUUGUACUUUGUAGUAACAUUUUGCCAAAAGACUGAAUGUGGUGUUGUUUUGACUAGGAACUGAGAUGACUAUUUCUUUCUUGCUAAUCCCUUCACUCUUAGUGCACUGUGUUUUCACCUCUUUUCUGCAUUAUGUUUGGUUGAAUUUUGGAUUUUGGCAUUUUGCCUUAAAUAGUAGGUUUUUGGCCUCAUAGGCAAUGGACUAUAACAUUUGAAGAGCAGACUGAUCUUUUUGUGUGCUAAGAUUGCAGAGAGACUACUUUUAAGAAAUAUUUGUGGUUGUCAUUAGUCUUGGAUUUCGUAUCUUCCCCUUUCCUGUGCCUUUUCUCUGCUUCAAUUCAAAUUAGUGAUGCUACUUGCCGUUGGCAGUUGCAUGUCUUUCCUGUUGAGUGUAUUUGCAAAACUCAUCAGUUUCAUGCUUUGAGUUUUAGAGUGGCUUCUGAAAACAUCUGACAUGUUAAAAUAAUCUUCUUGUUUCCUAUUUCACUAGAUUAAAUAUGUUAAUCAGCUCAUCUCAA
This is a long non-coding RNA of Lycium ferocissimum, 3455 nucleotides long. RefSeq lists it as uncharacterized. Lineage: Eukaryota; Viridiplantae; Streptophyta; Magnoliopsida; Solanales; Solanaceae. The record is from RefSeq and is a predicted model, not a curated record. The transcript is spliced from 3 exons.